AUAUAUACAAGAAUGGAAGUCUAGAGAGAGAGAGAGAGAGAAACCUCUAGUUUCCGUAUUGCUGCCUCAGCUUUCGCCUUCUGCAGGUUCUCCCAAGCAGUGAUUUUGGCUUCCUCUCUUUUAACUCUGAAGAAAGACAACAGGUUGACAUUUCAAUAUUAGUAUAGAUAUGUAUCAGUCCACAUUUUAAAAUAUCACAUCAUUUAAUGAUAUUGAUCAUAAAUCUCUAUAUUUUCGACUAGUGACAAUUAGGCAGGAAAUUUGACCAAACAAAAGGCCAACCAAUCAAUAUUUAUUGAGAUCGCAACGUACUUUUAGUGUAUGGAAAAGAUAGGAAUUUACUCUUUGGUUAUGGCAUUUUCUUCAGAGUUCAAAUCAAUCCAAUUUUCCAUACAAAGUUUUUGACACUCUCAAUGUAUUUUUCUUUCAUCUUCUCAGAAAUAAAUAAUGCACAAUGGUAAAAUUGCGUGGCAAACAUACUUUGAAAUGUUCUUCGAUGAGUCAGAAAGAUCCCAAGCAGCAGACCGAGCGUCUGCAUCUUUCUUUUUCCAAUUAUCAAUAAUAUC
This 566-nucleotide long non-coding RNA is filed under the name Prunus persica (peach). Its description in RNAcentral is "long non-coding RNA (PPER_LNC001459)". The record is from RNAcentral. Lineage: Eukaryota; Viridiplantae; Streptophyta; Magnoliopsida; Rosales; Rosaceae.